UCACUUCAAGUGUUUGAGCCA
Molecule: non-coding RNA, 21 nt
Filed under: Arabidopsis thaliana (thale cress)
Lineage: Eukaryota; Viridiplantae; Streptophyta; Magnoliopsida; Brassicales; Brassicaceae
Source: RNAcentral